CAGAGAAUGUGCCCUUUGGGGUAUAUCUCCCACCCUUUGUCUACAAUACCUUUGUUGCUUUGGUGGGCCUGUCUAAUGACUACUGGCUUUUGCUGGUCAGUGCCUGCCAGAGGACCCCAACGCUCAUAAUUUUGUCGUCUGAGUACUACAUAAUAGUUA
RNAcentral lists this unclassified non-coding RNA (159 nucleotides) under uncultured Helotiales. Its description in RNAcentral is "sequence contains ITS1". The record is from RNAcentral. Lineage: Eukaryota; Fungi; Ascomycota; Leotiomycetes; Helotiales.